GGAGUUUGAUCCUGUGCUCAGAAGCGAACUGCUGGCGGACGUGCCUCAAGAGCAUGCAAGUCUGUGCUGAAGANAGUACAACUUCCGGGUGGUCUGAAGUAAGAGCGGUUGCACGGGUUGAAUAAGCGCGUUGGGUAAUACUGCCUUCGGGUUCCGGGACAACUCCGGGAAACUGGAGCUAAUACCGGAUAAGAUCACGGCGUCUUCGGACGCUGUGGAAACAAGGUGGCCUCUUCUUGAAAGCUACCGCCCGUAGAUGAGCCCGCGUCCCAUUAGACUUGUUGGUGAGGUAACGGUUCACCAAGGCGAACUAUGGGUAGCUGGUCUGAGAGGGUGAUCAGCCACACUGGGACGUGAGACACGGCCCAGACUCCUACGGGAGGCAGCAGUGGGGAAUAUUGGACAAUGGGCGCAAGCCUGAUCCAGCAAUGCCGNGUGUGUGAAGAAGGCCUUCGGGUUGUAAAGCACUUUCUAAUCGGGCAAGAAAAGCGCGCGGUUACAGCGGGCGUCUUGACGGUACCGAUACUAGAAGCACCGGCUAAUUCCGUGGCAAGCAGCCGCGGUANUACGGAGGGUGNAACGCGUGAUCGGCAGUACUGGGGGUAAGCGCNCACGGGGGUNGUUUACGUCCUCAUGUGAAGCCCGGGGUCAACUGGGGAACUGGUUUGAUACUGGGCGCAAUAAAAGAGAAGGAAACCUUGUUCGAAAUUCUUUAGUUGGACCCCUUGGCAGGGGUUUUGGCCAAUCGCCCAGGCAACCUGGGGCCCCGUGUACGGCGACCCGGGUUUGUCAUCGCACUGGUAGCAUAGUGGAAGC
This 816-nucleotide ribosomal RNA is filed under the name uncultured Gammaproteobacteria bacterium. RNAcentral's name for it is "bacterial SSU rRNA". The stretch from base 2 to 589 matches the Rfam family "Bacterial small subunit ribosomal RNA", at positions 9 to 546 of the family's 1533-position model. Lineage: Bacteria; Pseudomonadati; Pseudomonadota; Gammaproteobacteria. The record is from RNAcentral.